This is a long non-coding RNA of Cydia pomonella (codling moth), 557 nucleotides long. RefSeq lists it as uncharacterized. NCBI's taxonomy places the organism in Eukaryota, Metazoa, Arthropoda, Insecta, Lepidoptera, Tortricidae. The transcript is spliced from 2 exons. The record is from RefSeq and is a predicted model, not a curated record.
UACAAUAUAUGCCUCAGCUACUAUUUUGGAUCCUAGGUACAAGGCAAGAGUUUUUAAAAAUUCAUGUGCUGUUGGAAAUGUUAAAGAGAGAUUGAAGGAAGAAAUAGAGUUGGUUGCCUCUACUACCACAUCAUGCAUAAAUGAAAUUCAAACGGACCCUGGACCAUCUACUUCAAAAAAAAAAUAUAUGGAAUGUUUGUCAACAGAUAAUAUCAGACACGGAGUUUGUGGAACCUCUUUCAAACUUUUCAUGAAAUCAAAACUAUAUGGCCGAAAUUAAUGCUUAUUUAAAUGCACCCAAUGCAGAGAUGGAUACAAGCUAUUCAAGUUAUUGGAGAAAAAAUACUAUAUUUCCUCAUUUGAAAAAAUUGGCCCAUAAGUAUUUGUCCAUCAAACCAGCAACAGUGGAUUCAGAAAGAUUGUUUUCCACAGCCAGUUUAAUCCAUACGGAUAGGUAUAAGAAACAGACUCAAAACAGAUAAUUUAAAAAAAUUAUGUUUUCUUAACAAGAAUGGUAAAUUGUCCUUAAAACUUAAGUAAAUGUUGAUUUUACUGAA